GUGGGGAAUAUUGGGCAAUGGGCGCAAGCCUGACCCAGCAACGCCGCGUGAAGGAAGAAGGCUUUCGGGUUGUAAACUUCUUUUACCAGGGACGAAACAAAUGACGGUACCUGGUGAAUAAGCCACGGCUAACUACGUGCCAGCAGCCGCGGUAAUACGUAGGUGGCGAGCGUUAUCCGGAUUUAUUGGGUGUAAAGGGCGUGUAGGUGGGACAGCAAGUCAGAUGUGAAAACCAGAGGCUCAACCUCUGGCCUGCAUUUGAAACUGUUGUUCUUGAGUGUCGGGGAGGUAAUCGGAAUUCCGUGUGUAGCGGUGAAAUGCGUAGAUAUUAGGAGGAACACCAGUGGCGAAGGCGGCUUACUGGACUGUAACUGACGUUGAGGCUCGAAAGCGUGGGGAGCAAACAGGAUUAGAAACCCGAGUAGUCC
This 428-nucleotide ribosomal RNA is filed under the name uncultured bacterium. RNAcentral's name for it is "partial 16S ribosomal RNA". It matches the Rfam family "Bacterial small subunit ribosomal RNA", at positions 354 to 796 of the family's 1533-position model. The record is from RNAcentral.